Molecule: ribosomal RNA, 253 nt
Filed under: uncultured bacterium
Lineage: Bacteria
Also listed under: 1 other name
Description: partial 16S ribosomal RNA
Rfam family: Bacterial small subunit ribosomal RNA
Source: RNAcentral
UACGAAGGGGGCUAGCGUUGCUCGGAAUUACUGGGCGUAAAGGGCGCGUAGGCGGAUCGUUAAGUCAGAGGUGAAAUCCCGGAGCUCAACUUCGGAACUGCCUUUGAUACUGGCGAUCUUGAGUGUGAGAGAGGUAUGUGGAACUCCGAGUGUAGAGGUGAAAUUCGUAGAUAUUCGGAAGAACACCAGUGGCGAAGGCGACAUACUGGCUCAUUACUGACGCUGAGGCGCGAAAGCGUGGGGAGCAAACAGG